Molecule: ribosomal RNA, 253 nt
Filed under: uncultured bacterium
Lineage: Bacteria
Description: partial 16S ribosomal RNA
Rfam family: Bacterial small subunit ribosomal RNA
Source: RNAcentral
UACGGAGGGUGCGAGCGUUGUCCGGAAUUACUGGGCGUAAAGCGUGCGUAGGUGGUUUGUUAAGUCUGUUGUGAAAGCCCCGGGCUCAACCUGGGAAUGGCAAUGGAUACUGGCAAGCUAGAGUGCGGUAGAGGGUAGUGGAAUUCCCGGUGUAGCGGUGAAAUGCGUAGAGAUCGGGAGGAACACCAGUGGCGAAGGCGGCUACCUGGACCAGCACUGACACUGAGGCACGAAAGCGUGGGGAGCAAACAGG